This 253-nucleotide ribosomal RNA is filed under the name uncultured bacterium. RNAcentral's name for it is "partial 16S ribosomal RNA". It matches the Rfam family "Bacterial small subunit ribosomal RNA", at positions 524 to 776 of the family's 1533-position model. The record is from RNAcentral.
UACGGAGGAUGCAAGCGUUAUCCGGAAUGAUUGGGCGUAAAGCGUCCGCAGGUGGCAAUGUAAGUCUGCUGUUAAAGAGUCUAGCUCAACUAGAUAAAAGCAGUGGAAACUACAUAGCUAGAGUACGUUCGGGGCAGAGGGAAUUCCUGGUGUAGCGGUGAAAUGCGUAGGGAUCAGGAAGAACACCGGUGGCGAAGGCGCUCUGCUAGGCCGUAACUGACACUGAGGGACGAAAGCUAGGGGAGCGAAUGGG